RNAcentral lists this ribosomal RNA (253 nucleotides) under uncultured bacterium. Its description in RNAcentral is "partial 16S ribosomal RNA". It matches the Rfam family "Bacterial small subunit ribosomal RNA", at positions 524 to 776 of the family's 1533-position model. The record is from RNAcentral.
UACGGAGGGGGCGAGCGUUAUUCGGAAUUAUUGGGCGUAAAGGGCGCGUAGGCGGCGCGAUAAGUCAAAGGUGAAAUCCCUCGGCUCAACUGAGGAACUGCCUUUGAGACUGUCGAGCUCGAGGCCGGGAGGGGGUAGCGGAAUUCCCAGUGUAGCGGUGAAAUGCGUAGAUAUUGGGAGGAACACCAGUGGCGAAGGCGGCUACCUGGACCGGUUCUGACGCUGAUGCGCGAAAGCGUGGGUAGCAAACAGG